Long non-coding RNA from Salvia splendens (bonfire salvia), 1706 nucleotides. RefSeq lists it as uncharacterized. The transcript is spliced from 2 exons. The record is from RefSeq and is a predicted model, not a curated record. Lineage: Eukaryota; Viridiplantae; Streptophyta; Magnoliopsida; Lamiales; Lamiaceae.
UCUAGACCCAACUAGGAAUUUAUUUAAUCUGGCCCAAAGUAUUUAUUUCUUAAGCAAUUAGCCCAGUUUUAAUUAGUUGGCCCAUUUCCCUUCUCUUUCUAUCAUUUUCCUAACUCUGAGGCCCAAAUACUACUCUUUAUUAAUUAAUUCAGGCCCAAAGUAAAUAAAUUUGGCAUGGCCAAAUUACCCCCUUCUGCAUCGCCCGAUCUCUCUCUCCCCCAAUCUCUAAAUUUUAAACCAACUCAAAACCCUAAUCUCCCCCACUCGGAGUCAGCGGUGCCUCCUCCUCUUCACGCCGAUCUGCCUCUGUCGCGGGGUCAACCACCGGCGUUCAGUCGUCACCGUCGCCCUCCCCUCCGUCAAUGCCUCCUCUCGGCUGGAGCUCCGUCAUCGAGCUGGAACUCGGCCGUUAUUAGGCGUGCUUAUAGGUGAGGCUCCGGUAGCAGCGGUGCCUCGCGAGGCUUCCGCCGUCGCCGCUGAGUCGCUGCUGGUUCGAAAAGCACGGCGUCACCGCAGGACUCCCCCAGCCGAGCCGUCGCACGCUCAGCUUGCCUUACGGCAGCCUCCGGACUCCGUCGUCCUUCCAUCCCGCUCAAGCUAAGUUUACUAAUUGUAUUUGGUGCAGUAUUUCGUAUUUUGAAGUUAAGCUAUUCAUAGAGAUUUUAGGGUUUUCGAUUCGUUAGGACGGAUCGACUAGUUGGGUUCGAUUGGAGUGAUCCCUUUUAUACUCCGACAUCCCAGUCAUGAUUUAACAUGCUAUCUAUAAGCCUUGGGCAGUGGCUUACGAGGAUGAUAUUAUGUGGUGUUGCCACUGUUUUUUUUUUCUCGUUGAUGCUUGCUUCAACUAUCUGCUACUGUCAUGGGGCUAUUACUACUGUGCUUGAAAGUUCUUGAGCUUUUGUGUCCCUAAGUUCUCGUGUUGAAUACUACAUGAUGAGUUGAUGAAAAACAUUGUUUGAGUUUGAGGGAGAACGACCUUACCUCUCUCACUCGGCUCAAACUUCAGUUAUCUCGUUGCCUCGGUCCCUCUCCCUGCCUUGGUUCCUCUCACUGUGUUGCGAUUGUUGCGAUAAUGAGGGAGGCAGAGGCUGAGGCCUAUUUAUACUAGUGGCCUAACUAAAAGCCGGAAAAAAGGCUGACAUUUCUGGCUGGAGGGUAGUCCUUGAUAGACUGAUUUGGUUGUUACCUCUACAGCAAUUUCGCAGGGUGUACUCGUGAGCUGGACGAGCUUAAGGCUCCUGGCUAUGCUCUGAUUAUUAUAACUGAUUUUGGUGUUUUGUGAUGCAUUGUACCCUGCCUCAGUCAUGAGUUUUGUCCCCUUUUGGCAGGCAUUCAGAGAGAUGGCAGGGUAUGUGGGCGAUCUUCCCAGCCAUAGCAGAUUUGAGGGAGAUACCACUGCCGGUUGCAGCCUUGCAGGGAUCCUGCAGCCACUGGUUGGGAGCUGAGGCUGUUACUGAUGCUGCCAUUCCUGGUGGUCUCGCCCUUUCGGCUCUCUAUGGUUCUGGCCGAUACGGCUUGCGGAAGAGGCCAAUGAAGUCCUCUAAGAUGUCUUGUGUGAAAUGGCAUAGAUCACUUUGUAAUUUCCUUUUUUUUUGCUAUGUAAUAGUUGGGUGUAUUUCAUUUUAGCACUUUUGUAACUCAAAAGCUUAUAGUUCUUAUAUAGCAUUUAUAUUUCCUUCAGGAAAUAAAAUACUCUUUCAUAAAAA